RNAcentral lists this ribosomal RNA (304 nucleotides) under uncultured bacterium. Its description in RNAcentral is "partial 16S ribosomal RNA". It matches the Rfam family "Bacterial small subunit ribosomal RNA", at positions 506 to 807 of the family's 1533-position model. The record is from RNAcentral.
CAGCAGCCGCCGCGGUAAAACGUAGGUGGCAAGCGUUGUCCGGAAUUAUUGGGCGUAAAGGGCUCGCAGGCGGUUCCUUAAGUCUGAUGUGAAAGCCCCCGGCUCAACCGGAGAGGGUCAUUGGAAACUGGGAAACUUGAGUGCAGAAGAGGAGAGUGGAAUUCCACGUGUAGCGGUGAAAUGCGUAGAGAUGUGAAGGAACACCAGUGGCGAAGGCGACUCUCUGGUCUGUAACUGACGCUGAGGAGCGAAAGCGUGGGGAGCGAACAGGAUUAGAUACCCCAGUAGUCCCUGUCUCUUAUAC